UGGGGAAUAUUGGACAAUGGGCGCAAGCCUGAUCCAGCCAUGCCGCGUGAGUGAUGAAGGCCCUAGGGUUGUAAAGCUCUUUCACCGGUGAAGAUAAUGACGGUAACCGGAGAAGAAGCCCCGGCUAACUUCGUGCCAGCAGCCGCGGUAAUACGAAGGGGGCUAGCGUUGUUCGGAUUUACUGGGCGUAAAGCGCACGUAGGCGGACUUUUAAGUCAGGGGUGAAAUCCCGGGGCUCAACCCCGGAACUGCCUUUGAUACUGGAAGUCUUGAGUACGGUAGAGGUGAGUGGAAUUCCGAGUGUAGAGGUGAAAUUCGUAGAUAUUCGGAGGAACACCAGUGGCGAAGGCGGCUCACUGGACCAUUACUGACGCUGAGGUGCGAAAGCGUGGGGAGCAAACAGG
Molecule: ribosomal RNA, 404 nt
Filed under: Brucella melitensis
Lineage: Bacteria; Pseudomonadati; Pseudomonadota; Alphaproteobacteria; Hyphomicrobiales; Brucellaceae
Also listed under: 2 other names
Description: partial 16S ribosomal RNA
Rfam family: Bacterial small subunit ribosomal RNA
Source: RNAcentral